This 275-nucleotide ribosomal RNA is filed under the name uncultured bacterium. RNAcentral's name for it is "partial 16S ribosomal RNA". It matches the Rfam family "Bacterial small subunit ribosomal RNA", at positions 399 to 691 of the family's 1533-position model. The record is from RNAcentral.
GCGUGAGUGAAGAAGGCCUUAGGGUUGUAAAACUCUUUCGCCCGCGAAGAUGAUGACGGUAGCGGGAGAAGAAGCCCCGGCUAACUCCGUGCCAGCAGCCGCGGUAAUACGGAGGGGGCUAGCGUUGUUCGGAUUUACUGGGCGUAAAGCGCACGUAGGCGGUUCAUCAAGUUAGGCGUGAAAGGCCUGGGCUUAACCCGGGAACUGCGUUUAAUACUGAUGGGCUAGAGUCCGGGAGAGGGUGGCGGAAUUCCCAGUGUAGAGGUGAAAUUCGU